This 374-nucleotide ribosomal RNA is filed under the name Maribacter sp. 4U21. RNAcentral describes it as "bacterial SSU rRNA". It matches the Rfam family "Bacterial small subunit ribosomal RNA", at positions 1 to 366 of the family's 1533-position model. Lineage: Bacteria; Pseudomonadati; Bacteroidota; Flavobacteriia; Flavobacteriales; Flavobacteriaceae. The record is from RNAcentral.
CAACGAUGAAGAGUUUGAUCCUGGCUCAGGAUGAACGCUAGCGGCAGGCCUAACACAUGCAAGUCGAGGGGUAACAGGGAGUGCUUGCACUCCGCUGACGACCGGCGCACGGGUGCGCACCGCGUAUGGAACCUACCUUCUACAGGGGAAUAGCCUUUGGAAACGAAGAUUAAUUCCCCAUUGUACCUUUUUGCGGCAUCGUGAAAGGGUUAAAGGCUUCGGCCGGUGGAAGAUGGCCAUGCGUCCCAUUAGCUCGAUGGUAAGGUAACGGCUUACCAUGGCUACGAUGGGUAGGGGCCCUGAGAGGGGGAUCCCCCACACUGGUACUGAGACACGGACCAGACUCCUACGGGAGGCAGCAGUGAGGAAUAUUG